CCAACCUUCAAAUAAGUACCACAUAAUGUAUGAGUUGAAUGAAUGUGCCAAUCAAAUGACUCAAGACUCACAAAUCAGGGAUCAAACCAAUGCAAAAUAGGAAAAGGCUCACACUACAAAGAAGACCCCAAACCAAGUCAAAGAAUGGACCAAGAGCAAACCCUAAAAUUGGGUCAAAACCCUAAUACAAAGACAAGAUUCAAAACCUAACCAAAUGAC
Molecule: long non-coding RNA, 219 nt
Filed under: Lathyrus oleraceus (garden pea)
Lineage: Eukaryota; Viridiplantae; Streptophyta; Magnoliopsida; Fabales; Fabaceae
Description: Pisum sativum (pea) long non-coding RNA (PSAT_LNC009272)
Source: RNAcentral